GUACACUCCUACGGGAGGCAGCAGUGGGGAAUAUUGGACAAUGGGCGCAAGCCUGAUCCAGCCAUGCCGCGUGAGUGAUGAAGGCCCUAGGGUUGUAAAGCUCUUUCACCGGAGAAGAUAAUGACGGUAUCCGGAGAAGAAGCCCCGGCUAACUUCGUGCCAGCAGCCGCGGUAAUACGAAGGGGGCUAGCGUUGUUCGGAAUUACUGGGCGUAAAGCGCACGUAGGCGGAUCGAUCAGUCAGGGGUGAAAUCCCAGGGCUCAACCCUGGAACUGCCUUUGAUACUGUCGAUCUGGAGUAUGGAAGAGGUGAGUGGAAUUCCGAGUGUAGAGGUGAAAUUCGUAGAUAUUCGGAGGAACACCAGUGGCGAAGGCGGCUCACUGGUCCAUUACUGACGCUGAGGUGCGAAAGCGUGGGGAGCAAACAGGAUUAGAUACCCGGGUAGUCC
Molecule: ribosomal RNA, 448 nt
Filed under: uncultured organism
Description: partial 16S ribosomal RNA
Rfam family: Bacterial small subunit ribosomal RNA
Source: RNAcentral